This 934-nucleotide long non-coding RNA is filed under the name Panax ginseng (ginseng). Its description in RNAcentral is "long non-coding RNA (PGIN_LNC015317)". Lineage: Eukaryota; Viridiplantae; Streptophyta; Magnoliopsida; Apiales; Araliaceae. The record is from RNAcentral.
GGCGAGUCAUUAUGAUAUAAAUUUUCCAUGACUCAUAGACUCUUCAGAGUCCUUGACUUCUGACUCAAACCCAAACCAAACCAUGGAGAGCAACACAAACCCAUCUCGCUGAAAUCUUGAAACCAAACCCAUCUCGUUGAAAUCACUUCUCUAACGUCCUUAUGGAGAGCAACACAAGAAUCUCUGCACCCAAUUCCCUCCUUCGUCCCCUAACCCGUCUCACAACCGUCGCCGACCACCGAAUUUUUAACGGAGAUUGCGUUGAGUCCUAAUUGGACGGAGACUACGAUUUUCACCGGAUUUAUAUGUGGGUUUUGUUUAUCUUGAUUAUCGGAGGUGGAAGAAUCGAGCUGAUCUCAGAAUUGAAAAUGAUAGCUUCAUUUAGAUCUGCUUUUGGUUUUGUUUUUUAUUUUUGUGUUAUUUUUUUUAAAAGUAUAGUGGAUUUUCCAUAGCGAAUUUCUUUUUUACUGUUAAUGAUAUGCUGGUGGUUGGUGAUUAUUUCUGCUAUUGGGUUUUGGUAAUUUGUUCUGAAUGAUCAAAACUGGAUUAUUUUUUUUAAUUCGUUGAAGGCGAUCAAUUGAUUCGGCUCUCCCCCUUCGACUCUCUUAAGUUGGAUGUUGAUUCGGUUUUUAACCGAACUACCGAAAUUACAAUUCGAUAAUUUGGUAUUCGAUAAUUCGGUUAUUUUCAAAAUUCGGUUAUUAGUUUGGAUAGUGAAAUUAUCAUUACUUCGAUUUUCGAUUAUAACCGAAUAAUUUAUUCGGUUCGGUUAUAAUCGAAUGAUCACUCCUAAUAUUAGUUAUUCAAAAUUUCAUUUCAGUUUAUAGUUUAAACUUAUAAAUAUAUCUAAAUUAAUAAUAGAGUAAUGCUAUACAGACCGGUUUAUUGGACAUAUGCAAAUUUAUUUUUUUAUUUUUUUUUGCUUGUUACUCCC